Molecule: long non-coding RNA, 1403 nt
Filed under: Homo sapiens (human)
Lineage: Eukaryota; Metazoa; Chordata; Mammalia; Primates; Hominidae
Description: PREDICTED lncRNA (TCONS_00212473)
Source: RNAcentral
CGCCGUCGACCCCACGCCACGCAGAGGUGAAGAUACGCAGGACGUCCUCUAAAGCAACUUCCGUGGGUGCCAGGUUGUGGGCUGGGGGCGGUGCUGACCUUGAGAGAGCGGAGGAGGCGCAGGCGCAGCACAGGUACGUGGGCGGGCGGAUCGUGGUGGCUGCGCUUGCGAGGACCCUGAGGUAGAUUGGGUGGUUUCAACAGGAACGCAUCCACUGUCUGAGAGUUUAAACUUGAUUUUGUGAGGGGACGAACAGCGUGACAAUUAAAAGAAGAUCUGGGAAUCAAAAGCUUCCUGAGGCCUUCACCAGAAGCAGAUGCUGGUGCCGUGCUUCUACAGCCUGCAGAACUCAUCACCGCUCUUGCACUCCAAGCCAUUAUUAAGUAAAGUAAAGAACACAAACACUGUGAUACUGCUACACUUGAUCUGAUAACCAAGAAGUCUACUAAGUGACUAACAGUUAAUAUUUUUGGACAUGAGGUGACUGCAGUUAACUAAAACCAUGGAAAGCAAACCCAUAGAUAAAGGGAUACUAUGGUAUGUUUUCAUUUUCUAUAAUAAAAAGUUAAAAAGGAAAAAGACACCAUAGGAAAAUAAAAGACAAGUCACAAACUGGGAAAAGAUCUUUGCAACACAUGUGACUAUCGAAAGGAUUAGUAUUCACACUGUGUAAAGAACCACUACAAUUCAAUGAAAAUGAAGAUAAUGCUUUCCACCCCAAACAGGCAAUUCAUACAGGAGAAAACCUGAAAAGAUACCCAACCACAAGGAAAUACCAUUUCACACCCACCAGAUGAACAAAAAUGUAAAAGUCUGGCAAUAUUACAAUUCUUAUACAUUGCUGGUUGGAGUAUGAAUUGAUAUAAUCAAUUUGGGAAACAAUAUGGUAUUAUCUAGUAGCUGAAGAUGCACAUCUUCUGUGACCCAGGAAAAAUGUAUAGCAGGAGACAUGAGCAAGAAAAUUCAUAAUGGCAUUUAUAACAGUAAAACGUGGAAGAAAAUCCACUGUCCAUCAACAGUAGAGUGAUUAAAUACAUUGUAUAUGCUCAUACAGCAGAAUAUAGUGGUGGAAAAAAUAAAUUACAAGUUCAUGGACAUAGAUAAAUCUCUAACAAAAUGUUGAGCAAAUAAAAAUUCACAAAAGAAUUUUACAGUAGGAUUCCAUUUAUAUAAAGAACCAAUGAAAGUAAAUAGCCUAAGGGUACAAACAUAAGUAAAUCUAUAAAUUAAAGCAAAAGAAUGAUAAGCACAAAUUCAAGGCAGUGAUUUCCUCUAGCUACAGAGGGAAGGGAAUGAAGUAAGGAAAAGGUGAACAAGGAGCUUAAAAGUAUGAUAAUUAUAUGUGUUGGUUUGGCCAAACAGUCCUGGUUUACCUAGCACAGUUCUGGUUUGCUGAUUGCCUG